RNAcentral lists this ribosomal RNA (326 nucleotides) under uncultured bacterium. RNAcentral describes it as "bacterial SSU rRNA". It matches the Rfam family "Bacterial small subunit ribosomal RNA", at positions 1 to 334 of the family's 1533-position model. The record is from RNAcentral.
CUAGCGACUUCAGAGUUUGAUCCUGGCUCAGGAUGAACGCUGGCGGCGUGCUUAACACAUUCAAGUCGAACGAAGUAGCAAUACUUAGUGGCGGACGGGUGAGUAACGCGUGAGCAACCUGCCUUUGUGAGGGGGAUAACGUUUGGAAACGAACGCUAAUACCGCAUAAUGCAUAGAAGUCACAUGGCUUUUAUGCCAAAGAUUUAUCGCACAAAGAUGGGCUCGCGUCUAAUUAGAUAGUUGGUGGGGUAACGGCCUACCAAGUCGACGAUUAGUAGCCGGACUGAGAGGUUGAACGGCCACAUUGGAACUGAGAUACGGUCCAG